Molecule: non-coding RNA, 21 nt
Filed under: Caenorhabditis elegans
Lineage: Eukaryota; Metazoa; Nematoda; Chromadorea; Rhabditida; Rhabditidae
Source: RNAcentral
UUUGCCGUACGACAGUAUUAA